GUGCUCGCUUCGGCAGCACAUAUACUAAAACUGGAACAAUACAGAGAAGAUUAGCAUGGCCCCUGCACAAGGAUGAAACACAUAAAACAUUGUGUUCAGCAUGUAUGU
Molecule: small nuclear RNA, 108 nt
Organism: Suncus etruscus (white-toothed pygmy shrew)
Lineage: Eukaryota; Metazoa; Chordata; Mammalia; Eulipotyphla; Soricidae
Source: RefSeq, a predicted model, not a curated record